RNAcentral lists this ribosomal RNA (526 nucleotides) under uncultured eukaryote. Its description in RNAcentral is "bacterial SSU rRNA". It matches the Rfam family "Eukaryotic small subunit ribosomal RNA", at positions 21 to 549 of the family's 1831-position model. The record is from RNAcentral.
UAGUCAUAUGCUUGUCCCAAAGAUUAAGCCAUGCAUGUGCAAGUAUAUACCUAUAUACGGAGAAACUGCGAAAGGCUCAUUAAAUCGGUGAUAAUUUAGGUGGAGGAAGUGUUACAUGGAUAACCGUGGUAAUUCUAUGGCUAAUACAUGCAUGUUGUUGCGAGACAGCGAGUAUUUAUUAGAUAAGACCGAGGUUGGGCGAGGAAACUCGCUCGAUACAUGGGGAACCAUAAUAACUGACAAUGAUCGUAUGGCCGAGGGCUGACGACACUCCACACAAAUUUCUGCCCCAUCAACUCUUGAUGGUAGGAUAGGGGCCUACCAUGGUGGCAACGGGUAACGGGGAAUUGGGGUUUGAUUCCGGAGAGGGAGCCUGAGAAAUGGCUACCACUUCCAAGGAAGGCAGCAGGCGCGCAAAUUACCCAAUCCCGAGACGGGGAGGUAGUGACAGUAAAUAACAAAGACGGUCUCUUUGAGAUGGUCUAUUGGAAUGAGAGGAAGAUAAAGAGGUUUUCGAGUAACGAUU